CAGUCGCCGCGGUAAUACGAAGGGGGCUAGCGUUGUUCGGAAUUACUGGGCGUAAAGCGCACGUAGGCGGAUUUUUAAGUCAGGGGUGAAAUCCCGAGGCUCAACCUCGGAACUGCCUUUGAUACUGGAGAUCUUGAGUUCGGAAGAGGUUGGUGGAACAGCUAGUGUAGAGGUGAAAUUCGUAGAUAUUAGCUAGAACACCAGUGGCGAAGGCGGCCAACUGGUCCGAUACUGACGCUGAGGUGCGAAAGCGUGGGGAGCAAACAGGAUUAGAUACCCGAGUAGUCCCUGUCUCUUAUAC
RNAcentral lists this ribosomal RNA (301 nucleotides) under uncultured bacterium. RNAcentral's name for it is "partial 16S ribosomal RNA". It matches the Rfam family "Bacterial small subunit ribosomal RNA", at positions 509 to 807 of the family's 1533-position model. The record is from RNAcentral.